This 538-nucleotide ribosomal RNA is filed under the name uncultured bacterium. Its description in RNAcentral is "partial 16S ribosomal RNA". It matches the Rfam family "Bacterial small subunit ribosomal RNA", at positions 355 to 889 of the family's 1533-position model. The record is from RNAcentral.
UGGGGAAUCUUCCGCAAUGGACGAAAGUCUGACGGAGCAACGCCGCGUGAGUGAAGAAGGUUUUCGGAUCGUAAAACUCUGUCUUUUGGGGCGAACGUGAGUAUGGUGAACAAUCAUAGUCAGUGACGGUACCAAAGGAGGAAGCCACGGCUAACUACGUGCCAGCAGCCGCGGUAAUACGUAGGUGGCAAGCGUUGUCCGGAAUUAUUGGGCGUAAAGAGCGCGUAGGCGGGAUAGUCAGUCUGUUGUAAAGUGCGGGCUCAACCCGUGAUCGCAAUGGAAACAGCUAUUCUUGAGUGCAGGAGAGGAAAGUGGAAUUCCCAGUGUAGCGGUGAAAUGCGUAGAUAUUGGGAGGAACACCAGUGGCGAAGGCGACUUUCUGGACUGUGUCUGACGCUGAGGCGCGAAAGCCAGGGGAGCGAACGGGAUUAGAUACCCCGGUAGUCCUGGCCGUAAACGAUGGACUAGGUGUGGGAGGUAUCGACCCCUUCCGUGCCGGAGUUAACGCAAUAAGUACCCGCCUGGGGAGUACGGUCGC